AACGUAGGCCUCAAGCGUUAUCCGGAUUUAUUGGGCGUAAAGCGCGUGUAGGGGGUUCGGCAAGUCAAAUGUUAAAUCUCGAGGCUUAACUUCGAGACCGCAUUCGAUACUGCCAAACUAGAGGGUGUAAGAGGUAGAUGGAACGCACGGUGUAGGGGUGAAAUCCGUUGAUAUCGUGCGGAACACCAAAGGCGAAGGCAGUCUACUGGGACAUCCCUGACCCUGAGACGCGAAAGCGUGGGGAG
Molecule: ribosomal RNA, 245 nt
Filed under: uncultured bacterium
Lineage: Bacteria
Description: partial 16S ribosomal RNA
Rfam family: Bacterial small subunit ribosomal RNA
Source: RNAcentral